GUGAAUCAUCGAAUUUUUGAACGCAAAUUGCACUUUUUGGUAUUCGGGAAAGUAUGGCUGUUUGAGGGUUAGUUAAAUAAAUAUCGGUGUUGUUGAUGCUUUUCGUGGUGUGGCGACGGUGUUGAGUUGUCUUACAUUAGGAUAAGUGAUUUAAAAUUUUGCAUGAUUUUCGAACGUUUUCAAAUUUUUUAUGUACGUUUGAGAUAUUGAAUACUUUAUU
This 220-nucleotide unclassified non-coding RNA is filed under the name Glomeraceae sp. RNAcentral describes it as "partial internal transcribed spacer 2". The stretch from base 1 to 71 matches the Rfam family "5.8S ribosomal RNA", at positions 84 to 154 of the family's 154-position model. The record is from RNAcentral. Lineage: Eukaryota; Fungi; Glomeromycota; Glomeromycetes; Glomerales; Glomeraceae.